RNAcentral lists this unclassified non-coding RNA (329 nucleotides) under plant metagenome. RNAcentral's name for it is "partial contains 5.8S ribosomal RNA, internal transcribed spacer 2, and large subunit ribosomal RNA". The stretch from base 1 to 105 matches the Rfam family "5.8S ribosomal RNA", at positions 50 to 154 of the family's 154-position model. The record is from RNAcentral.
GAAAUGCGAUAAGUAAUGUGAAUUGCAGAAUUCAGUGAAUCAUCGAAUCUUUGAACGCACAUUGCGCCCGUCAGCAUUCUGGCGGGCAUGCCUGUUCGAGCGUCAUUUCAACCCUCAGGACCCCCCUUUCGCGGGGAGGGACCUGGCGUUGGGGAUCGGCCCGCCCCCCGUGGCGGCGCCGUCCCCGAAAUCUAGAGGCGGUCUCGCUGCAGCCUCCCCUGCGUAGUAGUUACAACCUCGCAUCGGAGCGCGGCGCGGCCACGCCGUAAAACCCCCGACUUUCUGAACGUUGACCUCGGAUCAGGUAGGAAUACCCGCUGAACUUAAGC